RNA transcript from Rosa chinensis, 1710 nucleotides. It is a transcript of the gene named probable plastid-lipid-associated protein 11, chloroplastic, with no coding region annotated. The record is from RefSeq and is a predicted model, not a curated record. The transcript is spliced from 6 exons. Lineage: Eukaryota; Viridiplantae; Streptophyta; Magnoliopsida; Rosales; Rosaceae.
ACCACUACUAGCCAUGAAGGAGUCUCCAAACCUCAAACCUCUCCAUCACCAUCACUCUCUCCUCCUCCUUAAUCCAUUCCCUCCACAUGGCCACGUGUCUCCCCUUCCGCUCCAUCCCCUUCAAACCCAACACCUCCUCCUCCUCCGCCUCCCGCCCCGCUAAAAUCACCUGCUCCUCCGUCACCUCCCAAUCCCGCCUCGCCAAGCAAGACCUCCUCGCCCUCAUCGCCGACCAGGACCGCGGCCUCAAGACCCAGACCGACCCCACCAAACGCGCCUCCAUCAUCAAGGCCAUCGACGCCCUGGCCCAUCUCGGCAACGGUACCGUCACCACCGGCAGCGACCUCUCCGCCACGUGGCGGCUGCUGUGGACGACCGAGAAGGAGCAGCUCUUCAUCAUCCAGAACGCGUCCGUGUUCGGCACGCGCGCCGGCGACGUUUUGCAGGUCAUCGAUGUUGACCGGAAGGUCCUCAACAAUGUCAUCACUUUCCCUCCCGAUGGUGUCUUCUUUGUUCGCUCCACCAUCGAAGUCGCUUCGCCGCAGAGAGUGAAUUUUAGGUUUACGAGUGCGGUUCUACGAGGGAAGAGCUGGGAGUUUCCGUUGCCGCCGUUCGGCCAGGGCUGGUUUGAAACUGUAUACCUUGAUGACGAGAUUCGGGUUGUGAAGGAUAUCAGAGAAGACUAUUUGGUUGUAGACCGUGCUCCCUAUGCUUGGACAGAAUGAAGACGAUAAUGUUCGCCACUGACUUCAAUGUUACUCUUAGAUGGACGUAAUGUGGAGAAAACAAUCACAUUUUGAUCCCAUUAUCUGCGCGUUUGAAUCUGUAUGUCAAGAUGAUGAUCUUAGAGUUGAAAAGAAAAUUUGUGGAGAUUCCUUGGUCAGGUGUGUAAGAUUUGGUACUUGAUCUUUUGCAAAUGCUUUAUGAAUCAACCUAUUUCUUCUAUCUUUUUGUCUCCAAAUGUUAUUAUUCCUUCGCAUCGUCAAUUUUCAGUUGUCUCCCGUCGAGUUUUAUGCUUAUUUUUCUUGUGUUCAACACCAUGUUUUUUAGUGUUCAACACAAUCUUGACCAAAAAACAGAAACAAAAAGACCAUGUGUUUUAAAUUCUUACAUCAAAAUUAAAACUAUGUGAAUCUUCUUGAUCCCUCAUCUCUUCUUUUCAAUACUAUCCUAAAAGUCGGGCGUCUUUUUUUGGAUCACAGCUUGAUCAAAAUUUAAACUUGAUAGUGUAUAAGCUAUAAAGGUAAGAAGUCUUUUGCUUGCUGCUGAGAUACAUAACCCGAGGAUGCUCUGUAAGCCUAAGCCCGAAUCAAUGAAAAUCCUACUUCCCUUCUCAGCUUUGUGAUUGGUAUUGACAUUUCUUUGAGGGCUAAGAUAAUCUUGUUAAACAUCCCACCUCAGAAGUCACACCCCCCCACCCAGUAAAAGUGAAGAGAUGAUGUAAGAGGAAUGAAGGAUAUAUGGACUGGAAUUGGAAGCAGAGAUCAGCAAAGCAUAUAAAGUGGAGAUCUUUGUGUCAUUAAGCACCAAGUAGUAGCGUGCAAAUAUUGGUUCCCAUGGCUUUGGGUCAUCAAUUAUUCACCUGCUAAUGGCUUCAGAUUUGCUUUUUCCUGUUUAUGAUUUCCCAAUUCGUGUUUGGUAGCACUAGUUGUAAAAGAACAUUUACCCCACAUGCUUCAAUCAGAGUUCAAUAUUUCCAUUUCCCUUUGA